This is a non-coding RNA of Triticum aestivum (bread wheat), 125 nucleotides long. The record is from Rfam. NCBI's taxonomy places the organism in Eukaryota, Viridiplantae, Streptophyta, Magnoliopsida, Poales, Poaceae.
GAUGUACUCCCUCUGUCCGGAAAUACUUGUCAUAGAAAUGGAUGCGUCUAGACGCAUUUUAGUUCUAGAUACAUCCACUUUUAUUCAUUUCUGCGACAAGUAAUUCCGGACGGAGGGAGUAUGUA